RNAcentral lists this ribosomal RNA (492 nucleotides) under uncultured bacterium. RNAcentral describes it as "partial 16S ribosomal RNA". It matches the Rfam family "Bacterial small subunit ribosomal RNA", at positions 28 to 507 of the family's 1533-position model. The record is from RNAcentral.
GAUGAACGCUAGCUACAGGCUUAACACAUGCAAGUCGAGGGGAAACGGCAUUAAGUGCUUGCACUUUUUGGACGUCGACCGGCGCACGGGUGAGUAACGCGUAUCCAACCUUCCCAUGACUAAGGGAUAACCUGCCGAAAGGCAGACUAAUACCUUAUGGUCUUCACUGACGGCAUCAGAUGUGAAGUAAAGAUUUAUCGGUUAUGGAUGGGGAUGCGUCUGAUUAGCUUGUUGGCGGGGUAACGGCCCACCAAGGCAACGAUCAGUAGGGGUUCUGAGAGGAAGGUCCCCCACAUUGGAACUGAGACACGGUCCAAACUCCUACGGGAGGCAGCAGUGAGGAAUAGUGGUAAAGGGGCGAGAGCCUGAACCAGCCAAGUAGCGUGCAGGAUGACGGCCCUAUGGGUUGUAAACUGCUUUUGUAUGGGGAUAAAGUCAAUCACGUGUGAUUGUUUGCAGGUACCAUACGAAUAAGGACCGGCUAAUUCCGUG